UAUUAUUAGAAAGAAAUCAAUAUCAUUCCAGCCAUUUGCGGCUGAGGGGUUGAAGAAAUUAAAGAUAUGAUUUCUUUUUGGCUGUGGAUUAGAUUUUGGCAUUCCUCAUUCCCGAUUCCCCAUGCGAGGGCCCCAAUGGCAUCAGGUGGAGGAAUUCUACACUGUCACCUGAUGGUGACUCCCACGUCAUGUGACCUCGCUCCGUCCCUCUCUCUCUGUCUCGUAAUAUAUUUCCAUCAUUAAUAGGUUCAGCCCCUCGGAGGUAAAAGCCAAACAUAUGCCAUAAGAGCAUGCAUGCAAUGAGAUAUUAAAACCCAUAAAUUAUGAAUAUUUAUUGUUUAUAUUUAUAGGUGUAAUUAUUAUAUAGUUUAGAGACCAGUCUAGGUUCAUUUAUUUAUAAAUCGCAUUUAAGUAAUUUAUAAAUUUCGAGUGAUAGGCAUAUUAGUUUGACCGCCAAAAUCAAUUACAGCUGGAUUUUUAUUUUAUUUAUAUUAGUGAAGUCGUUGGAUGAUUGCUAAGGGGCUGUUUGGUUGCACGCAUUUGCAACUGCAGUGCAGUUGCAAAUGCGUGCAGCCUCAAUUUCUUUAUUUGGUUUAGUGUAGUUGAGUUCAACUGCUGCAGUUCCAACUACACAAGAAGGUCCAAAUGCUGCAGUUGGAACUACAUCCAAAUUGGCCGUAGUUCUAACUACAGCAGUUGGUGAGGAAUAAGAUCACCCACAAAAUAACAAUAAUAAAUAAAUAAAUAAAUAGCUAAAUAAAUAAAUAAUAUAUGUAUAUAGGUAAAUAAAAAUACUUGUAAAUAAACUCAUACUAAUAAAAUUUUUUAGACAAUACAAGCUUUGUGCAAAAAAUUAAAUUUUUUAAAUUUAUUUUAUUUAAAAUAUAAAUAUAGUUUUUUUAAAAAAUUUUUAUAGAAUGUGAUCGUGUAUGUUAAUUUAAUAAGUUUUAAUUAAUUAUAAUUAUUAAAUUUGAUAAAAAAAAAUGAGAGAAUCGUUUAAAUUUUAAAGUUUGAUUUACAUAUUAAAAUUAAAUAAAUUAAAAAUUUUAAAUGUGUCGAUUAAUAAGUUGAAGAAUAUUAUAUAUAUCUACUUAUUUAUUUAUAAAUAGUAAAUUUAAAUGAUUAAUAAAUUUAUACAAUUAUUUUAUGUUUAGUGAAGGUAAUCUCACCACUCUAUCUGAAAAUGUGACAAAAUUCACAAAUACAACUAUCAGCUUCAUAUUACCAAACAGAAGAAAUGUAACUGCAGCAGUUGUAACUGCGUAAAACCAAACAGACUAGGUGUAGUUACAACUGCAGCAUUUGCAACUGCAUGUAUUUUCAACUAUAUUGUUUCUGCAACUACAUCCAACCAAACAGCCCCUAAGAGUAGGUUUGGUUCCACAUAAAAAUUGCUGGAAGGUUUUUUCACGCUCG
Molecule: long non-coding RNA, 1416 nt
Filed under: Ananas comosus (pineapple)
Lineage: Eukaryota; Viridiplantae; Streptophyta; Magnoliopsida; Poales; Bromeliaceae
Description: long non-coding RNA (ACOM_LNC006528)
Source: RNAcentral